GCUAACUACGUGCCAGCAGCCGCGGUAAUACGUAGGGGCGAGCGUUGUCCGGAAUCACUGGGCGUAAAGGGAGCGUAGGCGGCUCUGUAAGUCCUGCGUGAAAGGCGCCGGCUUAACCGGCGAGAGUCGUGGGAAACUGCAGGGCUUGAGUGUCGGAGAGGGUGGCGGAAUUCCCGGUGUAGCGGUGAAAUGCGUAGACAUCGGGAGGAACACCAGUGGCGAAGGCGGCCACCUGGACGGUAACUGACGCUGAGGCUCGAAAGCUGGGGGAGCAAACAGGAUUAGAUACCCUGGUAGUCCCAGCCGUAAACGAUGGGUGCUAGGUGUUGUGGGCCUUGAGCCUGCUGUGCCGUAGGACACCCAAUAAGCACCCCGCCUGGGGAGUACGGCCGCAAGGCUGAAACUCAAAGGAAUUGACGGGGGCCCGCACAAGCGGUGGAGCAUGUGGUUUAAUUCGAAGCUACGCGAAGAACCUUACCAGGCCUUGACAUCACCCGGAAGGUCGUGGAAACACGGCCGUCCUUCGGGACCGGGUGACAGGUGGUGCAUGGUCGUCGUCAGCUCGUGUCGUGAGAUGUUGGGUUAAGUCCCGCAACGAGCGCAACCCUCGCCCUUAGUUGCCAGCACCUCGGGUGGGCACUCUAAGGGGACUGCCGGUGACAAACCGGAGGAAGGUGGGGAUGACGUCAGAUCAUCAUGCCCCUUAUGGCCUGGGCUACACACGUGCUACAAUGGCCGGUACAGACGGAAGCGAAGGGGCGACCCGGAGCGAAUCCGAAAAAGCCGGUCUCAGUUCGGAUCGCAGGCUGCAACUCGCCUGCGUGAAGGCGGAAUCGCUAGUAAUCGCGGGUCAGCAUACCGCGGUGAAUACGUUCCCGGGCCUUGUACACACCGCCCGUCACACCACGAAAGCCGGAAACACCCGAAGCCGGUGUCCUAACCCGCAAGGGAGGGAGCCGUCGAAGGUGGGGCCGGUGAUUGGGGUG
Molecule: ribosomal RNA, 986 nt
Filed under: uncultured bacterium
Lineage: Bacteria
Description: bacterial SSU rRNA
Rfam family: Bacterial small subunit ribosomal RNA
Source: RNAcentral